This 253-nucleotide ribosomal RNA is filed under the name uncultured bacterium. RNAcentral describes it as "partial 16S ribosomal RNA". It matches the Rfam family "Bacterial small subunit ribosomal RNA", at positions 524 to 776 of the family's 1533-position model. The record is from RNAcentral.
UACGUAGAGCGCAAGCGUUGUCCGGAAUUAUUGGGCGUAAAGAGCUCGUAGGCGGCUUGUCACGUCGGAUGUGAAAGCCCGAGGCUUAACCUCGGGUCUGCAUUCGAUACGGGCUAGCUAGAGUGUGGUAGGGGAGAUCGGAAUUCCUGGUGUAGCGGUGAAAUGCGCAGAUAUCAGGAGGAACACCGGUGGCGAAGGCGGAUCUCUGGGCCAUUACUGACGCUGAGGAGCGAAAGCGUGGGGAGCGAACAGG